Non-coding RNA from Bacteroidetes bacterium GWF2_33_16, 68 nucleotides. NCBI's taxonomy places the organism in Bacteria, Pseudomonadati, Bacteroidota. The record is from Rfam.
AACUAGCGGAGACCAGAGACCACUUUAAAAAACGGGACGUACCGAAAAGUCAUCAGAGUAGGAUUCUA